AUGGCGCCGCCGCCGCCUCGCCGCUCUGCUCCCAUGUUCCCCGCCGGCGGCACGACGCGGAGCAUGCUCCUCCAGGCGGCGUACGACGGCGACCUCCGCUCCUUCAAGAGCCACGCGAGGGCGCUGGACAAGGGCAGGGGCCGCCUCAGGGAGACGGUGGAGGCGGUGACCGUGGAAGGAGACGACGAGGCACUGGAGGGCGUCGGGGCGCUGCACCUCGCCGCCGCCAGGGGGAACCUGGAGAUGUGCGCCUACUUGGUCGAGGAGCUGCGCGUGGACGUGAACGCCGUCGACAACGGAGGUAGAACGCCUCUGAUUCAUGCUAUGUACGGUGAGAGGGUGGGCACUUUCAAGUAUCUUCUUGAUCAUGGUGCCAAUCCAGACAGAGUUGACCCCAAUGGAUUUGCCCCUCUACAUUCUGCUGCUGGAUCAGGAUAUUGUGAAAUGGUAAAGCUAUUACUUGCAAGAGGAGCUUGCACCGACCCGGUAACUUGCUGUGGGACACCACUUCAUAUUGCUGCUACUGAAGGGCAAGACUGUGCUAUGAAGAUUUUACUUGGCCACAAUGCAGAUUACAACAAGAUGAUAAAUGGUAUGACACCUCUCUAUUUUGCUAUAAAUGUCUCCUCGGUGAAAUGUGCAAAACUCCUGAUUCAGGCUGGUGCUGUUGCCAAUGGAGAUUUUAUCUUAACCGCUUUAGCUGAUGCUCCAAGAAAUGGAUCAGCGGAGUGCUUGAAUUGCCUACUGGGGUUUGGUGGUGAAUGGCGUGCUCGUAAUGAUGAGGAGCCUGUGGAUAGAAAGAAAGUAGCAGAAUUGAAGUCACAAGGGAGCAAGGCAGUUGCAAGAAAGGAUUUUCUUUCUGCAGCAGAAGCCUACAGUAUGGCACUGGAGCUUGAUCCUGAUGAUGCGACGUUGUUCUCAAACAGGAGCCUUUGCUGGCUUCACAUAGGCAAAGGAGGCAAGCCUUUGCUCAGUUUACUGGAUGCUUAUGAAUGCAAAAAGAGGCGGCCUGAUUGGUCGAAGGCCUUCUACAGGGAGAGCAAAGCUCUAGCGUUACUGAAGGACUACAAGGGUGCAUGCGAUGCGCUUCUGAACGUAUUGAAGAUGGACCCAGGGAAUGCUGAAAUCGAGGACGGAUUGCGGAAAGCUAUGGAAUCCUUGAAGGUGUCUCAAAGCACCAAGGCCAAGUGA
Molecule: ribosomal RNA, 1191 nt
Filed under: Triticum aestivum (bread wheat)
Lineage: Eukaryota; Viridiplantae; Streptophyta; Magnoliopsida; Poales; Poaceae
Description: partial small subunit ribosomal RNA
Source: RNAcentral